This 256-nucleotide ribosomal RNA is filed under the name uncultured bacterium. RNAcentral's name for it is "partial 16S ribosomal RNA". It matches the Rfam family "Bacterial small subunit ribosomal RNA", at positions 521 to 776 of the family's 1533-position model. The record is from RNAcentral.
UAAUACGGAGGGGGCUAGCGUUGUUCGGAAUUACUGGGCGUAAAGCGCACGUAGGCGGACCAGAAAGUCAGGGGUGAAAUCCCGGGGCUCAACCCCGGAACUGCCCUUGAAACUCCUGGUCUUGAGUUCGAGAGAGGUGAGUGGAAUUCCGAGUGUAGAGGUGAAAUUCGUAGAUAUUCGGAGGAACACCAGUGGCGAAGGCGGCUCACUGGCUCGAUACUGACGCUGAGGUGCGAAAGCGUGGGGAGCAAACAGG